AAACCUUUAUAUAAACACGUAAAUUUAGAAUGAUAUAAUGACAAUGUCUUUGAUUGUCAGAUAAAGAAUACAUUUUUUUUUAUCAUGUGUUGGUUAUAGUAUAUACAUAAAACGCGCACGUAUUUGUAGAAAAUGGAAGCUACACGUUUAAUAAUUUCAUGCGUCCGAAGCGCUUUUCCGGAUCUACCUUCAACAAGAACGCUCAAAGCCAAACAUUUGAAAUCCGAAGAUGUAUAAGUGCCUAACUCGUUGAAGAGCUAUAUGACAAAAAUACCAAAAAUAAAUAGCCAAAUUCAGGUAAAGUUAACUUUGCCUGAUGGUGUUGAAACCUUAGUUUCUUUAAAAUAAUUUCAAAAUUUAUCAACAGAUAAUUUUAGAAAAGUUUGUUAAAUCAUGUCAGUACCGAAG
Molecule: long non-coding RNA, 408 nt
Filed under: Mytilus galloprovincialis (Mediterranean mussel)
Lineage: Eukaryota; Metazoa; Mollusca; Bivalvia; Mytilida; Mytilidae
Source: RNAcentral